This 714-nucleotide ribosomal RNA is filed under the name uncultured bacterium. RNAcentral's name for it is "bacterial SSU rRNA". It matches the Rfam family "Bacterial small subunit ribosomal RNA", at positions 28 to 722 of the family's 1533-position model. The record is from RNAcentral.
AACGAACGCUGGCGGCGUGCUUAACACAUGCAAGUCGAACGCGAAAGGGACUUCGGUCCUGAGUAAAGUGGCGCACGGGUGAGUAACGCGUAGAUAACCUGUCUUCGAGUCUGGAAUAAUACACCGAAAGGGGUACUAAUACCGGAUAUUCUUGCAUUUCAUAAGGAGUGUAAGCAAAGGUGGCCUCUGUAUAUGCUACUGCUUGAAGAGGGGUCUGCGUACCAUUAGCUAGUAGGUGGGGUAAUGGCCCACCUAGGCUACGAUGGUUAGCGGGUCUGAGAGGAUGAUCCGCCACACUGGCACUGGAACACGGGCCAGACUCCUACGGGAGGCAGCAGUGAGGAAUAUUGCGCAAUGGGGGCAACCCUGACGCAGCGACGCCGCGUGAGUGAGGAAGGCCUUCGGGUCGUAAAGCUCUGUCAAAGGGAAAGAAAUGUAUAAUGGCUAAUACCUGUUAUAUUUGACGGUACCCUUAAAGGAAGCACCGGCUAACUCCGUGCCAGCAGCCGCGGUAAUACGGAGGGUGCAAGCGUUGUUCGGAAUCACUGGGCGUAAAGGGCGCGCAGGCGGUUUGGUAAGUCAGGUGUGAAAGCCCACGGCUUAACCAUGGAAGUGCAUUUGAAACUGCCAGACUUGAGUACCAGAGGGGAAAGUGGAAUUCCCGGUGUAGAGGUGAAAUUCGUAGAUAUCGGGAGGAAUACCGGUGGCGAAGGC